UUAAUGUCCAGGAGAGUGGCCCUCCGCAUGGAGGGUUGACUAGAGAUUUAUCGGUAUGGGAUGAGCUUGCGUCCGAUUAGCUAGUUGGCGGGGCAACGGCCCACCAAGGCGACGAUCGGUAGCCGGCCUGAGAGGGUGAUCGGCCACAUUGGGACUGAGAUACGGCCCAGACUCCUACGGGAGGCAGCAGUAGGGAAUAUUGCACAAUGGGGGAAACCCUGAUGCAGCAACGCCACGUGUGGGAAGUAGCAUUUCGGUGUGUAAACCACUGUCAUGAGGGAAUAAGGCCCGCCUCCGGGCGGGAUUGAAUGUACCUUGAGAGGAAGCACCGGCAAACUUCGUGCCAGCAGCCGCGGUAAUACGAGGGGUGCAAGCGUUGUUCGGAAUUACUGGGCGUAAAGGGAGCGCAGGCGGAGAUUCAAGCGGAUUGUACAAUCCCGGGGCCCAACCCCGGUUCUGCAGUCCGAACUGGAUCUCUUGGAUAGUUCAGGGGCAGGCGGAAUUCCUGGUGUAGCGGUGGAAUGCGUAGAGAUCAGGAAGAACACCGAUGGCGAANGCAGCCUGCUGGUGACUCAUCGACGCUGAGGCUCGAAAGUGCGGGUAGCAAACAGGAUUAGAUACCCUGGUAGUCCGCACCGU
Molecule: ribosomal RNA, 639 nt
Filed under: uncultured Fibrobacter sp.
Lineage: Bacteria; Pseudomonadati; Fibrobacterota; Fibrobacteria; Fibrobacterales; Fibrobacteraceae
Description: bacterial SSU rRNA
Rfam family: Bacterial small subunit ribosomal RNA
Source: RNAcentral